UUCCCGGACGAUCACCGAAGUUAAACAACGUCGAGCCUGGUCAGUACAUAAAUGGGUGACCGCUUGAGAAUACCAGGUGCUGUAAG
This is a non-coding RNA of Acanthosepion pharaonis, 86 nucleotides long. The record is from the annotation of a GenBank genome assembly. NCBI's taxonomy places the organism in Eukaryota, Metazoa, Mollusca, Cephalopoda, Sepiida, Sepiidae.